UACGUAGGGGGCGAGCGUUGUCCGGAUUUAUUGGGCGUAAAGAGCGUGUAGGCGGCCCGGUAAGUCCGCUGUGAAAGUCGGGGGCUCAACCCUCGAAUGCCGGUGGAUACUGUCGGGCUAGAGUGCGGAAGAGGCGACUGGAAUUCCGUGGUGUAGCGGUGGAAUGCGCAGAUAUCAGGAGGAACACCGGUGGCGAAGGCGGGUCUCUGGGCAGUAACUGACGCUGAGGAGCGAAAGCGUGGGGAGCGAACAGG
Molecule: ribosomal RNA, 254 nt
Filed under: uncultured bacterium
Lineage: Bacteria
Description: partial 16S ribosomal RNA
Rfam family: Bacterial small subunit ribosomal RNA
Source: RNAcentral